UUGAAAUUGAUUUCCCUCAAUUUGUUUUCCUCCCUCCAAAUUUCACCAAUAAAGCACAAACCCUAGUAAUUCUUGGUUGUGCCCGCCGUUUCCAAAACAUAGUCUUCACCUCUCCACCAAAUUCAUUCUUUCUUUCACACAAGUCUUCCGCUCCCCCCUUCUCCUAAAUCGAACCGCGCGCCGCCCCUAAUCAUCAAAUCUAUCUCGCCGCCAACGCCGAAUAAAGUCAUUCGACGUCCCUCGCUGAAGACCGAUCGCCGCGCGGGCCUCCCACGCUGAAGACCGACCACCGCGCCGGCCUCCCGCGCUGAAGACCGACCACCGCGCCGACGUCUGUUCUCGGUGUUGAAUGGGUUGUCUCCGCCGCCACACUUCCUCCGCCACCAGCCCCCAGUAUGUUGGAAUCUUAACACACUUAGAGAUUUUGUGGUUAUGAGAAGUAAAGGGCAACCUGUAUACAACUUUUGUGUAACCGUUGAUGAUGCUACCAUGGCUAUCUCGAAUGCCAUUAGGUGAGUACUACAGCCUGAUACAAAUGUUUCUUACUUUAUUGUUUAUAGUUGUCUAUGGUAUUGGUAUGUAACAGUUAGUAUUCGCAUUCAGAGCUGAAGAGUACUUGCCAAAUACUUUGAGGCAAGCAUUGAUAUUUUGUUACCUAGGUGCGUUUCUUUGGAAUGAUGUAAGUUGGAUCUGAUAUCUUUAGUUUUUUUUUUCCCGAAAAAAGGCGUGUUCACGCUUGUAUUGCAAUUUUCUGUAGAAAAACUAAUUAUCGUAUAAGCGUGAUCAAGUCAAUCUGUAUAUGGUCUUCAAAAUACUAUGCAGUGAUUGAUUGUUGAAAUGAUAGUUCAGAAAUGAACGUAAUCACGCCCUUUUAUAAAUUGUCUACUUAUGCUUAGUAUUAUUCCUUUGUAGAAAAUUAGCGAUUGGAAUAGAGAGAAUAGAAAGAGGAGAGAGCCGACUUUGUGCAUGUGGAGAUGGAUUGAAGCCACUAUCCAAAAGAUGAGAGAUGAUUAAUCUUGAUUUGCAAAAUGAGAAUGAAGAGCUGAAGAAAAAGAAUGAAGAGUUGGCCUCUCGGUUUGAGUAUUUAGAAGCUCAAAUUAGCUACAAUCUCAAGUAAAAGAUCUUUUGAGAGCUAAACUCCCUGCUAUCAUUCAAGGCCUAAAUCAAAGUAGUCAAAUAUCGAGUUCUAAUUAAUGUAAAGUUAGUUGACUAAGUUUAUCUUUUAUUUAUUAGAAAGACAUCGUUUUAUGAUGUUUCAUAAA
Molecule: RNA transcript, 1262 nt
Organism: Salvia miltiorrhiza (redroot sage)
Lineage: Eukaryota; Viridiplantae; Streptophyta; Magnoliopsida; Lamiales; Lamiaceae
Gene name: glutamate--tRNA ligase, chloroplastic/mitochondrial-like
Exons: 2
Source: RefSeq, a predicted model, not a curated record